This 252-nucleotide ribosomal RNA is filed under the name uncultured bacterium. Its description in RNAcentral is "partial 16S ribosomal RNA". It matches the Rfam family "Bacterial small subunit ribosomal RNA", at positions 524 to 776 of the family's 1533-position model. The record is from RNAcentral.
UACGGAGGAUGCGAGCGUUAUCCGGAUUUAUUGGGUUUAAAGGGUGCGUAGGCGGACGCUUAAGUCAGCGGUAAAAUUGCGGGGCUCAACCUCGUCGAGCCGUUGAAACUGGGUGCCUUGAGUGGGCGAGAAGUACGCGGAAUGCGUGGUGUAGCGGUGAAAUGCAUGGAUAUCACGCAGAACUCCGAUUGCGAAGGCAGCGUACCGGCGCCCAACUGACGCUGAAGCACGAAGGCGUGGGUAUCGAACAGG